Podarcis lilfordi (Lilford's wall lizard) is the source of this 272-nucleotide non-coding RNA. The record is from the annotation of a GenBank genome assembly. Lineage: Eukaryota; Metazoa; Chordata; Lepidosauria; Squamata; Lacertidae.
UAAGGAUUUGCUGAAAGGAGUUUUUAAAUGGAAGUGCAAGCGGGGAGAUGUGGGGAAGUCAAAGAACUAGGUAAAGAUAAGAAGGCUAAAUGAAAGUAUAAAUAUUUUUUAAAUUUUUCUGCUCCUUUUUCUUUGUUUUCUUUUUUUUUCUUUUUCCUUUCUUGUUAUUGUCAUUUCUGUUUGUUUUUUGUCAUGGUUAUUGUUGUUUUUUGUUUGUUGAAUUUUUGUAAUUCUGUAUUUUUUGGAAUUUUUCUUGUAAAACCAAUAAAUAU